AGCUCUGUGGCUUAGUUGGUUAAAGCGCCUGUCUAGUAAACAGGAGAUCCUGGGUCCAAAUCCCAGCAGUGCCU
This 74-nucleotide transfer RNA is filed under the name Oryzias latipes (Japanese medaka). RNAcentral describes it as "tRNA-Thr (AGT) (tRNA-Thr-AGT-40-1)". It matches the Rfam family "tRNA". From Rfam's summary of the family: Transfer RNA (tRNA) molecules are approximately 80 nucleotides in length. Their secondary structure includes four short double-helical elements and three loops (D, anti-codon, and T loops). Further hydrogen bonds mediate the characteristic L-shaped molecular structure. tRNAs have two regions of fundamental functional importance: the anti-codon, which is responsible for specific mRNA codon recognition, and the 3' end, to which the tRNAs corresponding amino acid is attached (by aminoacyl-tRNA synthetases). tRNAs cope with the degeneracy of the genetic code in two manners: having more than one tRNA (with a specific anti-codon) for a particular amino acid; and 'wobble' base-pairing, i.e. permitting non-standard base-pairing at the 3rd anti-codon position. The record is from Rfam by way of RNAcentral. Lineage: Eukaryota; Metazoa; Chordata; Actinopteri; Beloniformes; Adrianichthyidae.